RNAcentral lists this long non-coding RNA (1543 nucleotides) under Mytilus galloprovincialis (Mediterranean mussel). Lineage: Eukaryota; Metazoa; Mollusca; Bivalvia; Mytilida; Mytilidae. The record is from RNAcentral.
UUUUGUUCCAUAACAAAAAAUAUUCCAUCUUGUAAAAUAACAGAAUGUAAAAGAUUGGUAUUGCAUGGAUUACAGCAGAAAACAUAACAUACUCUUAAAAUAGGAUAAAAAUAAUUCCUGACAGAUAUCUUAAAAGAUCUUAAACCAAAUAUCAGAUAAUGUAUGUUAUGCAUUGAAGUAAAAUUUGGUGAUUUAAAACUAUAAAUGAAGCAAACUUACUAAUUACUUCUGUCAAAAAAUAUACAAAACUGUGUAUUUAGGUGCAUCUUUAAAUUGCAGUUAAGAAUAGGGUAUUAGAAUAAAAGUAUCAUCAUGACUGAAUAAUUUUGCUCAAGAUGGCAAACUUGGAAAGCAGUAUCCAAUAAUUAAAUAACAGUUAAGAGACAAUAUGUAAACAGUAUUUAUGAAAUUACAAUUUUGUAUUUUGAUAUCCAACAUUCAAGAUAUCUACUUGUAGCUAUCAUAAACACUGUAACUUGGUUUCCUUAAUAUUUUUGUAAGGGGGAGGAAUAAAAAUCUUAAAGAAAAUAAUUUCAAAACUAUUGCUAAAAUUUGUGUCAAAAAAAGGAACUUAACAACAAAAGAAAUGCACCACCACAGUUAAUUUAUUUAUUAUUAAAAAUCUUAUUAUUCCGUACUGUACCUGCAUUUUCAUCACUGAGUUUGUUAUGUCCAGCUAAUUAAAUAAUCCUUCAUUGGUUCUAGAUGAGAAUUUAUAAGUCCCAUUGAAAAACCUAUAGAGAAUAAUGGGUUUUGAAUUUACAAAAAGGGACCGAUGAACUUUCAAAAAUUAAAAUUAAUAAAGAAAAGCCAUUCUACUAAAAGAUUUCAUUUCUUUUGCAAUAGUUUGUUUUUGGUGAUUUUUAAGCAAAUUGACAAACGUAUUUGUUGGACUUAGGUUGUCUUAAAAAAUCACAGAAAAUGCAGGCAUUCUUUUUUUCUAGUAUAUCAGUACUAAUUAAAAGUAGGCUCUCAAUAUUAUGAACAAAAUAACUCCCCUUUUCCAAGAAAACAUAAAUUAUGUGUUCCACACUGUGUACACACCUGUAACCUUCACACUUAACACUCUGGUAUAAAUAUAUACAUGUAUUUACACGAUGGACAUGACUGGCAGCUUUGACAGGAGCAGAAACUCCAAAGAAUUAUAACACAAUUAGUAAGAAGAGAUCAAAACAUAUAACAAAUAACAGAUAAUAAAUAUAGGUAUUAUUUAUAAUUGGAAUUAUUUUUUUAAAGGAAAUAAUCUUCCUUUACCAAUCAGUAAGAUUGAUACCAAUAAUUUUUAUGCAAACAAUUUCUAAAAGGGUUUCAUGACUCUUAUCUUGCCUGCAUUUGCUGCUGUCUGUGUAAUAGUGCAAUAUCUACUGCAAAAAACUCAUUUUAUCAGUAAAAUAUGGACUUUUUGUAAUUUGAAGUUUUGUAAAGAUUUGACAAAGUUAUAGAUAUCCAAGUCAGUGUUUAAUUUUAAGGCUUUUUGUAAUUUGAGAUCAAAAAGAAAAAUAUGACUAAAAUAAUUCCAAUAUUCAAUAAUUAAAUUAGUAUG